RNAcentral lists this ribosomal RNA (185 nucleotides) under Escherichia coli. RNAcentral describes it as "partial 23S ribosomal RNA". It matches the Rfam family "Bacterial large subunit ribosomal RNA", at positions 2746 to 2925 of the family's 2925-position model. The record is from RNAcentral. Lineage: Bacteria; Pseudomonadati; Pseudomonadota; Gammaproteobacteria; Enterobacterales; Enterobacteriaceae.
UAGCUAAAUGCGGAAGAGAUAAGUGCUGAAAGCAUCUAAGCACGAAACUUGCCCCGAGAUGAGUUCUCCCUGACCCUUUAAGGGUCCUGAAGGAACGUUGAAGACGACGACGUUGAUAGGCCGGGUGUGUAAGCGCAGCGAUGCGUUGAGCUAACCGGUACUAAUGAACCGUGAGGCUUAACCUU